Molecule: long non-coding RNA, 324 nt
Filed under: Lathyrus oleraceus (garden pea)
Lineage: Eukaryota; Viridiplantae; Streptophyta; Magnoliopsida; Fabales; Fabaceae
Description: Pisum sativum (pea) long non-coding RNA (PSAT_LNC021885)
Source: RNAcentral
GCAAGACUCCAAGAUUCUCAGAUACACGAAGACUCUGAUCAUGGAAUUGCUAAAUAAAAGAAGAGUAACGUUAACGUCAAGUAAAGAUUUGCAAAUGGAUUUCCUAAUACAGAAAGAGACGUUAAUCUCCAAUUUCAAUAAAGAAGGUACUAUAUGUGGUAAGUAGUCAUUUCAAGGAGAGAAAGUUAUUCUGACAAGAAGCUAUUUAAGUUAUGGCGUAAAUUCAUUUUAUUAUCCAUCAGUUUCAACUACUACCUCACUGAUAUAUAAAAUGGGCUGCAAUCAACAUUGAAGAAACAAGUAGCAAGAAAAAUACUGAAACAU